This 812-nucleotide ribosomal RNA is filed under the name Escherichia coli. Its description in RNAcentral is "bacterial LSU rRNA". It matches the Rfam family "Bacterial large subunit ribosomal RNA", at positions 375 to 1191 of the family's 2925-position model. Lineage: Bacteria; Pseudomonadati; Pseudomonadota; Gammaproteobacteria; Enterobacterales; Enterobacteriaceae. The record is from RNAcentral. RNAcentral also lists the same sequence under 2 other names.
GUACACAAAAAUGCACAUGCUGUGAGCUCGAUGAGUAGGGCGGGACACGUGGUAUCCUGUCUGAAUAUGGGGGGACCAUCCUCCAAGGCUAAAUACUCCUGACUGACCGAUAGUGAACCAGUACCGUGAGGGAAAGGCGAAAAGAACCCCGGCGAGGGGAGUGAAAAAGAACCUGAAACCGUGUACGUACAAGCAGUGGGAGCACGCUUAGGCGUGUGACUGCGUACCUUUUGUAUAAUGGGUCAGCGACUUAUAUUCUGUAGCAAGGUUAACCGAAUAGGGGAGCCGAAGGGAAACCGAGUCUUAACUGGGCGUUAAGUUGCAGGGUAUAGACCCGAAACCCGGUGAUCUAGCCAUGGGCAGGUUGAAGGUUGGGUAACACUAACUGGAGGACCGAACCGACUAAUGUUGAAAAAUUAGCGGAUGACUUGUGGCUGGGGGUGAAAGGCCAAUCAAACCGGGAGAUAGCUGGUUCUCCCCGAAAGCUAUUUAGGUAGCGCCUCGUGAAUUCAUCUCCGGGGGUAGAGCACUGUUUCGGCAAGGGGGUCAUCCCGACUUACCAACCCGAUGCAAACUGCGAAUACCGGAGAAUGUUAUCACGGGAGACACACGGCGGGUGCUAACGUCCGUCGUGAAGAGGGAAACAACCCAGACCGCCAGCUAAGGUCCCAAAGUCAUGGUUAAGUGGGAAACGAUGUGGGAAGGCCCAGACAGCCAGGAUGUUGGCUUAGAAGCAGCCAUCAUUUAAAGAAAGCGUAAUAGCUCACUGGUCGAGUCGGCCUGCGCGGAAGAUGUAACGGGGCUAAACCAUG